Molecule: long non-coding RNA, 634 nt
Organism: Drosophila gunungcola (fruit fly)
Lineage: Eukaryota; Metazoa; Arthropoda; Insecta; Diptera; Drosophilidae
Exons: 2
Source: RefSeq, a predicted model, not a curated record
GAUGAAGUGAGUUGAAGGAUCGUCGAACCUCGACAGGGGUAAACAGGCUUUCGAUCCCCGGCAUUCAUAUAAAUAGAGGCCAGGGGCUCCUAGUUGGCUCAUUCAGUGUUUUGUGUUGAGUCCGAGAGGUUCAGGAUCAGGAGCAGCUUGUGAUCGCGCCUUGGGGUCACUCAGACCAAUAAAACUAUCAGAAACUCGUCUUUGGAUACCUUUCUUCAGGAUUCAGCCUGCAUGCAGACCCCUUAUGGCAGAUAUGUUGAGGUUUUAUCUUCUCUGUAUCAGCCUGGCAGCUGCUUACCAAAAUUAAUAGCACAAAAAUGACAAUGAAGUAGUUUCCACAUCCCAAAUCAACAUCCAGUUGUCAAUAAUGACAGCCCGGACCCGUCUAAGAACCAAAAGCUACGGCUCUAUCAGGGCUUGCACCUGGCCAGAACACCUAUUGGCACUCAUCACGGAACAUUGAAUCGUUGGAAGGCCGCACAACACCGCACUUCAGCCAUCCACCACCCAUCCAUCCAUCACCCACCAAACGUCGUCUCGGCCCUUUGGACAAAAUUUACAUUUGAGUUUAAGUUUAGGUGUAAACAAUAAACAAAAAACAACAAUAGGCUACCAAAAAAAGCGAAAAAUCCAA